RNAcentral lists this long non-coding RNA (1169 nucleotides) under Vitis vinifera (wine grape). Its description in RNAcentral is "long non-coding RNA (VVIN_LNC001276)". Lineage: Eukaryota; Viridiplantae; Streptophyta; Magnoliopsida; Vitales; Vitaceae. The record is from RNAcentral.
CAAAAUUAUCCAAAACGAAUAAAACAUCUCAUUUUUAAACUAUCAUCCCGAAUCAUCCAAGACAAAUGCCUACAAAAAGUAACAUGAGAUUAACAAUAAUAAUAAUAAUGAUAACUAAAAUGAAAUAAACAAAAUAAAUUCAAAAACCAAAAAAAAAACUAAAAAUCCUAACUUGAUUUAUAUUUUAUUCAAACAAUCAUCAGGAAUUAUCCCAAAGCUAAAAAAAAUAAGCACAAUAUAACUUUUCAUUAAUAUCCAAAUUAUUGAAAACUAAAAAAACUUGCAAAAUAUUUCAACUUUUCAUUAACAUCACAAAAUUAUCCAAAACGAAUAAAACAUCUAAUUUUUAAACUAUCAUCCCGAAUCAUCCAAGACAAAUGCCUACAAAAAGUAACAUGAGAUUAACAAUAAUAAUAAUGAUAACUAAAAUAAAAUAAAUAAAAUAAAUUCAAAAACCAAAAAAACUAAAAAUCCUAACUUAAUUUAUAUUUUGUUCAAACAAUCAUUAACACAUCUCAUAUAAAUACAUCAAAUCCAACAAAACACUCAUCGGAAGACAUUAAAUUUUAUUAUAACCAUCCAUGAUUUCAUUCCCUUUCCUUUAACAAAUAAAUAAAAACAUGCCCAUAGCAUCAUUCACAUUAGGACUGACCAUAUAUUCACAUUCGUUUGCAUUUUAAAUCCAACAAAACGAAGUCAAAGAACACUAACCUUGCUUGCAACUACCCUCUUUCACGGUUGUGUCACUUUUUCUUCUCAGUCUAGUUGUGUCUGCUUCUUCGAUCUGGCUCGUGUGUUCCUUCACCACAAAGAGUCCCCGAAUCAGCCUAUGUGUCCUUUAGAAGUUCCACCCGGAAAAGUGAUUUCCAUGUCUACAAUUUUCUUCUGAAUCUUGUUCAAAAAAAAAAUCCCCUAAAAUUCCUCUAGAGCUCUCUUUUUUUUCUCCCUCAGACGUCUCCCUCUAUCUUCAAGCUCUCCUCUCCAAAAAAAAUCCUCCUCCUCUCUCCUCAACUGUCUUUCUCAUAAAAGUGAUUUCCAUGUCUACAAUUUUCUUCUGAAUCUUGUUCAAAAAAAAAAUCCCCUAAAAUUCCUCUAGAGUUUUUUUUUUUCUCCCUCAGACGUCUCCCUCUAUCUUCAAGCUCUCCUCUCCAAAAAAAAUCCUCCUCCUC